CAAAAUAAAUAAAUAAACAUUAAAAAAAGUAGGAUUUAUAGAGAAGGGUUUUUAAUUUUUUUCCACAACAUUCAGAGAAAGUGACCAUAUGGGAUGUAUUAAAACGGAAGGGCCUGGAUACCACUGAUUAACACAGUAACUGAUGUGUAAGUUGUCGUCAAUUUUAAUUACAUACUCGACCAUAUAUUCUGACUCUGAGAACUAAAAAUCACAAUGCAUAUGUUAUGAGCAAUUAUAUUUUGACCCAACAAAGGGUCGUAAAUGACAAAGCAAUCUGCUGAAAUAUGUAACUUCUUUUCUAUAAUCACUAGGUAUGAGGAGCUAGCUAAACUCAGGAUAUAGGACCAUUUAUUUCUGCUCUGUAGUUUAAUGUCUAGGUCACAAUGAACUGAAUCAAACCAGAGUAAACCCUUGAUCAAAAUAAAAUAUGUAACUGCCUGUUGGAAUAGACUGCUCCCUUCCACAUGCUUCCCUUGAAUUUCAGGAAUGUUCUUAGGCAAGACUGGGCCACCCCAGAGAAGGGUUAUGAAAAAGUCGACACAGAGUCUAUGGACUGUGAGGUAAGUUGGAUUAAUUCAAGAACAAACCUUCUGAGCUCAGUUGAUUCGAGAACGAUCACCCACUGGAGAGUUGCGCUGCGCAAGAAAGACUUCUUCACAUUGCCCCAGUACUCUGCUUUGAAGAUAUGAACGUUCAAGUGGUGCUGCCCCUGCUGCCUUGGGGACCACACCUUGAGGAUCACUGCACUGAGUUGAAUUUCAGAAGGUUACGAGACAGGUGAGUCAGUAGGGGGUUGGUGGCGGGUCUACUCACCUAUUCUCAGUGUUCGGGUUCUGAGCGGUGAACCUUAUUAUUUUCUUGGUCAGGUUUAUUCCUAGAUAUUUUAUUCUUUUUGGUAAUUUGGCAAUUGUACGUGGGAUUGUUUUCUUAAUUUCUCUCUCUGUGACUUUGUUAUUAGUGUGUAAAGAUGCAAUCGAUUUCUGCAGGUUAAUUUUUUAUCCUGUAACUUCACUGAGUUUAUUUAUCAGUUUCCUCUAGUUUUUGGAUGGAGUCUUCAGGGUUUUCUCUAUGUGGCAUCACGGCAUCUGCCCAUACUGAAAGCUUUUGUCCUUCCUUACCGAUUUGGAUGCCUCUGCUUUCUUUUUCUUGUCUGAUAUCUAUGGAGAGGAUUCUAGUAUUGUGUUGACUAGCAGCGGUGAGAAGAGCCUUGUCUUGUUCCUGAUCUUAGAGGAAAAACUCUCAGAUUUUCACCGUGGAGCAUGAUGUUAGCUGUGGAUUUUUCAUUAUGUGGUCUUCAUUACGUGGAGGUAUGUUCCCUCUAAGCCUCCUUUGUGGAGAGUUUUUGUCAUGAAUGGAUGUUAAAGUAAACCUUUAAAUCAAUGUAUUAUGUAAUACAUUGUUCUUAUUUCAAUGUUCUUCCGCUAUGAGUGAAGAAUAUGAUUAUUCUCAACCGUCAGAACUUCCAUCCCUGGUAUGGAUCCCAAGGGCAGGAGGACCCCCACUUAGAUGCUGCUUAGCAUUUGCACGCUUCUCUCCAACUGGGUCACGUGCCGCUACACAGAUUUGAGGUCAACUCUGACAACAUUGUUUUUCUAAGCAAAGGAGCAAAAACACGAGCGUGACUCAGAUUAUAAAAUGUUGAUUUUGAAGACCUCCGGCUCUUACUGUUUUUGUAAUUUAAAGAAAUCUAAUCCUCUCAAACUGCCCUGCUGUGCUGUCCCCUGACGUCAUGUUUGUCUGGGCUUUGGAUUCAACGUUAAGAUCAUGGUUUAAAACAAAAAGAGAACGGCCCUUUUAAAAGUCAGAGUUUCUUUUAGACCCAGGCUGAGGACCGGCCAGCCACUGGGGGUGUGGAUGUACAUCCCUGUGCAUGCGUGGAUGGCGUGCACAUGUCUGCCAAGGCACGUGUGCAAGCAGGACUGGAGACCUCUGGUGUGACCCAACUCACAAAGCAUCCCAAUACAUUACUGUUCAAGAUUCCUGAAGGAUAGGGCACAUGGGUGGCUCGGUUGGUUAAGCCUCCGACUUGGGCUCAGGCCAUAAUCUCUCGUUCCUGGGUUGGAGCCCCGCAUUGAGCUCUGUUCUGACAGCUCAGAGCCUGGAGCCUGCUUUGGAUUCUGUGUCUCCCUUCCUCUCUGCCUCUCUCUCUCUCUCUCUCUCCCCCCAAUAAACAUUUUAAAAAGAUUUAAAAAAUAUAUUCCUGAGGAUCAGCUUGGCAGAUGGGCUAGAGACACAGGAAAGAAUUUUAGAAUUUAAGAAUUCCUGCCAAUUAUGUUCAAAUGUUAUUUAAUAAACUCAAACUCCAAGACAACAGUUUCAUUCACUUGUUGAUUUCCAAUGCACCCCAGUAAUAGCAGGCUUAUUGCAGUGGUUUCUAAAUAAGAACCUCUUUGGUUUUCUGAGACAAACUGGAAGCUAUUACAAUACUUUGCAUUUGAACCAUUAAAAAAAAUCAGUAUGAGUACUGGGUCUAUUUCACUUACGAAUACUAUACUAUUUUAUUUAUUCAGCAGACUUACCAUCAGAUCCCAAUUUAGUAGUGCAGAGAACACUUCAUUUCAAUGUAUUUAGUCUGUCUCUGUGUAAGUUGGUAGUUUAUAGAACUGAAAAGAUCCUGACACAUACACCUGCCUGGGAGAGAACAGAUUUUUA
Felis catus (domestic cat) is the source of this 2652-nucleotide long non-coding RNA. RefSeq lists it as uncharacterized. Lineage: Eukaryota; Metazoa; Chordata; Mammalia; Carnivora; Felidae. The record is from RefSeq and is a predicted model, not a curated record. The transcript has 3 exons.